Long non-coding RNA from Hylaeus anthracinus, 5393 nucleotides. RefSeq lists it as uncharacterized. The transcript has 2 exons. The record is from RefSeq and is a predicted model, not a curated record. Lineage: Eukaryota; Metazoa; Arthropoda; Insecta; Hymenoptera; Colletidae.
UUUUUUUUUUUUUUUUUUUUAAAUUACUCGCGUACUUCUGUAAAUUGAAUAACGUUUUCAAUUUCUACUUGACGAUUACUGUGGGAUGUAAAUCUAAUUUGAAAUGAAAUUAGAACUUCUUACGAGCAUUUAAUCGGGGGUCCUCUUUCGUAAAUAAAUAUGAAAUGAUUAAUGUUGAUCUGAAUUCAAGCGUAAAUUUAAUUAAAUUUUAAAUGAAAAUGCAACAUGCAGCAUGCAGACUUUCUCGUUUUAUUCGGAAUUCACUAGACAAAGUGUAAAGAUGCUUAAUAUCCGCGAUGCGAGCGUUCUAAGUUUUUUUUUUAUAGGCGCGUGUGCGUGUGAGUGUGGAUGUGACUGUUAACGGUCUCUUUCAGAUAUCACUAUUUGUACACUAGUAUUAUUAUUACUUGUAUCUGCGUAUACACAAACACACACAUAUACAUAUAUAUAUAUAUAUAUACAUAUAUAUAUAUCUUGUUUUUUUUUAUUUUUUAAAUUAUUUAAUCAAAGGCUUGGUCAGUCAGUUAAGCUGAUUAUGUAAGUAUGUAAUAUGCGUGGGGCGCUGUGUCUCUAGGUCUAUCAAACAAAUUCGUUGAAGGAUUUAUUAAGUUAAUGGUUGGCUGAGAGCAAUACCGUUUUCCAGGGAAGUUUAGAGACUUUUUUGUAUCGACAGGGCUGUUGAAAAAGUCAUCUUGGCUUCUACCGACCUACCAAUGUCCUCGAUGCGUUCGUUUUUUUUUUUAUUCUACGUAGAUGAGUACCACUGCUCGAUAUAAUCAGGGCAUUGGGUUUUCUGGACAAUUUUAGAGUUCGUUCUCUAGAGUUAAGUAUAUCGGGAAUGAAGGAAAUACUAUGUAUUUAAUAUAGUAAAUAUUUUUUAUCGAACUCGACUGAGUCUAACUUCGAAGUAUUGAUUACUUUACCAAGGGAUCAUGUAACACGAGUAGGUGGUCUCAUUAUUUUGAGCAGUGUAUCGAGCCCAUAAUUAGACGCUUUUUUUGGUGAGAGAAUCUAUUCCAGUUGAAUAGAUGUAUCUUUCUUUAAUCUAACAACAACUGGAAUUCAUUCUUGCAACGAACGCCACGAGCACUGAAAAGUAUACAAUUGUCUUCAUCCGUUCGCACAUGUUCCCAACAAAGUACGGUUUAUAGAAAGCUACUGUGUAGGUUUCACGUGAAAUCAGUCCAGCACGAUAAACAAUUACGUUUAACGACGAUAUUGCUACUAAAUUAGUAGAGAUCUCGGAUAACAUCACUACUGAAUCAGUAGGACUUCAUUGGACGUCGAAGCAGUAUUUUAUUGCAACAUAUUCGAUCGAAUUAAACACGUACAGGCAUCUUUUUGGGAGGGCAGUCGAACACAGAGACGAUCCCUCGAGCUAAAUUUUUGGUUCCAUAGGUUUUGUUUAUUUGUGAAAUUAAACUCAAAUAUUUGUUACUUGCGAACUUGCUACGGUAAUUGAAAAAUUGUUAGUUUAACAAUUCUAGUAUAGAUCAAAAUUCUAGUAUAGAUCAAAAUUUGAAGUAAUGAACGAAAGAUAAACAAAACUUGUUGGUCUUUGGAGCAAUAAAUAGAAAUCAAUUUUAUCGAAAGGAAAUAUUUUUGUUUGCCCUCAAAGUAGUAAACGAAAGACUAUUUAUUUAAAAGGAAAAUUCCUUUGAGGAAUUGGAUACCCCAGAGAUGGGCAAAUAUGAAACGUUUCGAAUAACACAACAGAUGAAACACUUUUGACUUAUUAUUUAUUCGAUAAAAAUUGAAAAUAUAUUUGGUAUCAAGCUUGUCAAGAUUAUUAUCAUACCAAAUAUAAAACUGACAAUCUAAAUUAUACGUUCGAUUUAUAUUCUGAAUAUAUUACUGUGGACACCUUUUUAUUCGUUGUUCGAAUAAAACUGUCAUGCAUAAUCUUAUAGCCAAGGUGACUUUUUCGAAAGCUUCUAAAAUUUCAUUCGAUAUUCCCAUCGAAGAUAAAUAUUGUCUCUCAGCUCGCGCGUCCUUUGUAUGUUUUCUAUUAUAUUUUUCUUUUGCGUCGAGUCAAAUCAGUGUCGACAUUCGCAAACAUAUCCGAACGUAUUUUUCUUUGAACAGGCUCAAAAGAGUCGGAUAUAUAAAUUCAUCGUCCAUUGCGGUGAACGUCGAGAUUUCUGUAAAUUAAACGUGUCUUUCGAAGGAAUGUAUUUCCAAUCCACGAUCUCUAAAGUGACGUGAAAUUUGAAUUUCUUAGUAGAAAUGGUGGUGAACUGCGUGAGAAAAAUUCAAAUUCUGUGCAACGCAGAACUUUCUACAAUUAACAGAGAUGAGGCAAUAUUCUUAGUCGAAUAAAAGUUAGGAUAACGAAUACAAGAUAUAAACACCUGUCUAUUCGUUGUUUGUUAAAUGAAAAUACAAAUUGAUUCGUGAACUUUAGAAUAUUUCACAGUAAAGGAAUAAAAGGAUACAUUGGUUUCAUUAGUUAUUUGCUCGAGUUUGAAUUCUCGAAGGAAACGAUUUUAUAAUGAAUAAAUAAGAAAUUUAAUUGUUUUAUCGAAUAAAUGACACGAACAACACGCUGUUUAUUACUUUAUCUAUUCGUCAUCUGUUAUUCGAAUGAAAUAAUUUUGCCAAUCUCUGGUUAACCGUGACUGAACAGAUCCGCCCGAUCUCUGGACCUGUAAAUGCGGCACCUUCGUUUUAAUCCGAUCGUGUGAAGUCGUGCAAUGGAUGUAAAUAGUCGUACUAGAUGUUGGGGGCAUUCUGAAGCUGCACAACUCGGGACAAAUAGGCAAAAGCGCAGAAAAUGAGGAUCGUCAGUUUGUUUGCUGAAUGCAGAGCGGGUGAUCGCGAUUCUAAUUUAUUUCAAAAGAAACUUUUAACGCUGUUAAUCCUAGGACUUCUGGGGUCUCGAUUGACCCUACGCAUUUCUAGACCUAUCGAUACUUUAUUUAUUUUAAACUCACGAAGGAUUUGAUAUAUACAUGUUUUCAUUUCCUUUUAUUAGGUUAUCCCAAAAGUUUUUUUCGUUUUAUUAAUAAUUAAUUAAUAUAUACACAAUAUUGUAUGUUUUAUGUUACAUUACUGAAUUGUGUACGAUUCAUUUCGCUCCAUGACUGUUACAGCAUCAAUGUCUAAGAAAUUAAAUUGUCUAUUUAUAGAAACAUUGCCACACAAAAUAAUUGAGUGCAAAUUACGAAAGAAACUUUUGGGACAACCUAAAAUAUAUAAAAAUUACUGAUAUUUAGGAUCACAAUACCCUUCAGUUUGUUAAAGUUUUAGCUGUAGCUAUAAACUGUAGCUACAAUCACACAUAGCUAUAGACCCUGAGGUGGAAGUCUAUAAUUGAUUAUAAUAACAUAAUAAUUAUAAUAUUACUAGUUAUACGUAAUUAUUCAAUCGAAUAGUUUUAACCAGUGUACAUGGAUUCUGUUUGUUAUAUGUUAGCUUGAAACGAUCCAUUCUUGAAUUCUCUAAGAAUUCUCUAGAAAUGCGUGGGAGUCAGUCGAGAUUCCAUUCUAGAUUUAAACUUAAGGGGGUAUCCUGAAUUAGGAGGUUUAAGAAAAGCGGUGAAUUUUUUCGUGAAUUUUUUUAGGAUGGAAACAAAAUAAUUCAUUCCAUCGAUCGUUUUUAUUCUAUUUUCAUACAUAUUUGAGUAGUCUGUAGAAAUGUUGUCAGCAAGAAAUAUUCAAAUUGAGUCGACUGUGACGCACAUUUGUAGACCACCUCACAAAUAAAACCUCCUAUCAGGGGGAAAAAUGCAGAAAUUUUCAUUUUCAUACAUUUUUCUUCUAGGUGCUUUACAAAUAUGCAUAGCAGUCGAUUCAAGUUGAAUAUUGUUUCUUGAAAAAAUUUGUACAGACUACUCAAAUAUGUAUGAAAAUAGGAUAAAAAGUUCGAUGGAAUUAUUUAAUUUUUUCCAUCCUAAAAAAAUUCACGGGAAACCGCUUUUUUUUUUAGACCUCCUAAUUCAGGAUACCCCUUUAAUUCGUCAACUGCGUUCAUUAGAGAAAUAGUUAUUGUUCAAUUCUGGUUGACGAUUACUCGCCAAGCCUUCAGCGAGAUCAAUUAGAGAUCAAUGAAGGGAAGCUGGCAUCAGAACGAAUCGAAAUGGAACAUUGUAUUUUGCUGUUGAGUGGCAAGUACUGUUAGCACGCGAGAAGAUUGCUAUUAACUCCUCCCACGGGACGAGUCACGGCGAACAUUUUAACCCUCUCGGCCCUAGUGAGACAUACAGUGGCGUGCAUAAGUUUUCAGACAGAUACAUUUGCCAUUUAAUAUUCCGAAAGCGAUAUCUAAAGUAAUUUUAGCUAAUGUUAGAUACCAAGGUAUUGCUAAACGAAAGAAAACAGUGGAAAAAUUAACUCUAUUUAUUAUUUUGACAUAUUUACCAAGCUGUAAUAUCGCUUUUCGGAAUAGAAAGUAAAAGAUGUAUCUGGCAGGAAACUCGCACGCGACAUGUUAUUUGUGUCUAGAGUGAGAGAAAAAUAUCUCAUUGACUUCCUUGAAGGCGAUUGGCUGCGAUACUAGUGGGAGGAGUUUGUAGAUAUCUUCUCGCGCGCGACCUGUACAAGUAACGAUUACCGAGAGGGGAAAAGCGAUGAAAAUAUCAUUUCCUUUUUUUUUUUUGUACAUAGUGAUCGUCGGUCGACGGGAGGCAGAAAGUAACGGAGAACGCGCGGGGAAAUAUUAUGUGUACAUGAACAAUGUGAUAUAAGUAAUUAAUUAAAUUACUUGGCACUAUAGCGUUUAAGCAAGAAAACUGUUAAACUGUUUACAGCGUAGACGUACGAUGCUAACUAUUAUUUACUAACAUCCUAAAUGAAUCGUAAGGGAAUCUAAUUGUACAUAGAAUUAUGAAAGAAAGAGCGAGUGAAAGAAAGAGUGUGCGUGGGUAAAAGGAAAUCACGAGAUGUAUAAUUAUAUCGAACAUGAGAAAUGAAUGAAAAUAGAACGAAAACCGAAGUCGAAUACGUGAGAAGAAAAAAAAAGAACCCUACGUCUUGUAUAUCCCUCGUGAUAGAGCCUGUAGAUUGUAAUUCUCGUGCGUGAAUGGGGAACAACGCGAAGAAUAUGUGCGACGACCGAGCGUUCUAGUAAGAGUGUUGUUGUUGUUGUAGUCUAUGUCGAAUUUUGUUAUAUGCCAAUCCGCCUGGCUUACGAAACACACACUGUAUAUGUCACGAACCUUCGAACAACUUGUGCAUUGAAAUGAACGGAAACAAAAAACAGAAUAAUAGUAAUAAUAGUAAUAAUAGUAAUAAAACGGAGGAAAGAACGACGAUAAAUACGCGAUAAUGAGAAAUCGGAGCGUGCCGCGAAACGGGGCGCGACGAAACCCUCGCAACACUUUUCUUUUUGUUUUCAAAAGAAUGCGACAAAUUUCAAUACAAUCUAUUACAAUAAAAACGUAAGCGUGAAGCGUU